RNAcentral lists this ribosomal RNA (374 nucleotides) under uncultured bacterium. RNAcentral's name for it is "bacterial SSU rRNA". It matches the Rfam family "Bacterial small subunit ribosomal RNA", at positions 523 to 898 of the family's 1533-position model. The record is from RNAcentral.
AUACGGAGGAUGCAAGCGUUAUCCGGAUUUAUUGGGUUUAAAGGGUGCGUAGGCGGAUUGAUAAGUCAGCGGUGAAAUUCACAGGCUCAACCUGUGCCGUGCCGUUGAAACUGUCCAUCUGGAAUACGUAUGCUGUGGGAGGAAUGUGUAGUGUAGCGGUGAAAUGCAUAGAUAUUACACAGAACACCUAUUGCGAAGGCAUCUCACAAAGUCGUUAUUGACGCUGAGGCACGAAAGUGUGGGGAUCAAACAGGAUUAGAUACCCUGGUAGUCCACUACUGUAAACUAUGAUAACUCGCUGUCGGCGAUAUACUGUCGGUGGCCUAGCGAAAGCGAUAAGUUAUCCACCUGGGGAGUACGACCGCAAGGUUGAA